CUCUCUCUCUUUCUCCCCUUUUCUCUUUCUUGCGCGUGCAAGCAAAAUACCCUCCUGGGCCGGGAUCAUGGCAGCGGGGACAACUCCUUCCGCUACUACCACUGAGAAGUGAGUAGCUGGCUGCGCUGUGCAGGAGAUUCCUCAGUGCCAGACUCAGGUCGGUCCCCUUCGUGUUGACUCAGGAAAAAGCCGGAGCAGGCGUCUCUGGAUGCAGAGAGGGAACAGUUCCAGAGUUCUGCGCAAGGGGAGCCCUGUGCAGUGCAGGAGAACUGGAGCUUUUCCCUCCCUACACCCAAUCAGCUGCUGCUGCUGCUGCUCCUCCCCAUUCUCCUCCUUCCUAAGCCAACACAAAGGGGACUGCGGCUCGCUCUGAUCUGAGUCUGGCGCUGAGGAGUCUCCUGCGCUGCAUACCCAGUUACUCACCUUAUUGUGCAGUGGCGACAGCGAGCGGAGUAAUUGUCCCUUCGGUCUUGAUCCUGGCCCAGAAGGGCAAAGCCAAGAAGAGAGACUGAUAGUGAUACCAGUUGUCAAAGUACAUGGAAUAUCCUAUUGCUUCUAUAUGACUUCUGCUAGCACUUUGAGCAGAACUGCAAGAGGAGCAUUUUGAAAUUCUUGGUGAUGAUGGUCUUGAAGUUAAUGUUCAGAAAGCAAGUCCAGACCUAACCUCAUAAAGUGGCAAGGAAAGAUAGAAGCCUUAACCACUGCUGAGGCCUGCCGCUCGAAGAAGUGGGUGGAGGAAGCAAUCGAUCCUUGUUCCAGAUCAUCCAUUGGGGCAAAGAAUUCAGUGAUAUCGUCUUGGC
This is a long non-coding RNA of Thamnophis elegans (Western terrestrial garter snake), 800 nucleotides long. RefSeq lists it as uncharacterized. Lineage: Eukaryota; Metazoa; Chordata; Lepidosauria; Squamata; Natricidae. The record is from RefSeq and is a predicted model, not a curated record. The transcript has 4 exons.